CAAAAACACAUUUCGAAACCGCCACCGGUACACAUAACAUACGUGAUUCAAAUAUUAGUGAUAGCAAGUAUUAGGUAGAUGGAUUGGAAUAUUUUUUACGUUACGAUUUGUUCGAGUUCAAACCUACAAACUGUCAAAAUAUAAAGCCGUCCGUGUACAAAAAUGUCUUUGAUCACGCUACAAACCUGUGUUCGAUGAUUCCACCCGCAGAACUCGCAGAUGUAUAUUACGUUAGUUGGCCAUGGAUUUUGUGGAAAAAUUAACACAAUACGAGUACACCAAAUUUAAACCGUUUAGAUACUUUAUAACGUACUGGAUUUAAUUGAAAACGACGCUAUUAUAAAUAUUUAUUCUUUAAAAUCACCUGUAAGUUUUUUAUAACAUGGAACAUUUAAUGUUUACAAACAUUUUUUUCAGUGUUAUAGAUAUUUCAUAAUCAGAUUAUUAUUCAAGACAACGUACUUAUAAAGAUGAAAAUAAAACUUUAGCUGUUAUCGUUGAGAGUUUACCGAAUCUUAUGUCUUUCGACAUAUCUGGUACCAACUUGGGUGGAGAAGGUAGAGCAGAACAUUCUAUGCACUAGUCCUUAAGUGGCAAAAGUCAGACAUUCCCGGUUUAGAGCAUAGAGUCGACAAUCCUUUAUAAUUCUUAGGUUUAUUGAAAACCAUGCAUAAUGCUUGUCGACGACAUAAUAUUCCUGCAAAAAAUAAGUGGUGAUGAUAACAAUGAACAUAUUUAAUAGUGAUUAUUCAAAUAUGGAAAAACAGGAACUUCUCAAGUCAUCCAUAU
This is a long non-coding RNA of Sipha flava (yellow sugarcane aphid), 789 nucleotides long. RefSeq lists it as uncharacterized. Lineage: Eukaryota; Metazoa; Arthropoda; Insecta; Hemiptera; Aphididae. The record is from RefSeq and is a predicted model, not a curated record. The transcript has 3 exons.